ACUCCUACGGGAGGCAGCAGUGAGGAAUAUUGGACAAUGGAGGAGACUCUGAUCCAGCCAUGCCGCGUGUAGGAAGAAUGCCCUAUGGGUUGUAAACUACUUUUAUACAGGAAGAAACACUGGUAUGUAUACCAGUCUUGACGGUACUGUAAGAGNAAGGCACCGGCUAACUAC
This 174-nucleotide ribosomal RNA is filed under the name uncultured Bacteroidota bacterium. RNAcentral's name for it is "uncultured Bacteroidetes bacterium partial 16S ribosomal RNA". It matches the Rfam family "Bacterial small subunit ribosomal RNA", at positions 335 to 504 of the family's 1533-position model. The record is from RNAcentral. Lineage: Bacteria; Pseudomonadati; Bacteroidota.